This 253-nucleotide ribosomal RNA is filed under the name uncultured bacterium. RNAcentral describes it as "partial 16S ribosomal RNA". It matches the Rfam family "Bacterial small subunit ribosomal RNA", at positions 524 to 776 of the family's 1533-position model. The record is from RNAcentral.
UACGGAGGGUGCAAACGUUGCUCGGAAUCAUUGGGCGUAAAGCGCACGUAGGCGGCCUGUUAAGUCGGAUGUGAAAGCCCCGGGCUCAACCCGGGAAGUGCAUUCGAAACUGGCGGGCUUGAAUAUGGAAGAGGGUCGCGGAAUUCCCGGUGUAGAGGUGAAAUUCGUAGAUAUCAGGAGGAACACCAAUGGCGAAGGCAGCACUCUGGGACGUGACUGACGCUGAGACGCGAAAGCGUGGGGAGCAAACAGG